Molecule: ribosomal RNA, 754 nt
Filed under: Thermoplasmata archaeon enrichment culture
Lineage: Archaea; Methanobacteriati; Thermoplasmatota; Thermoplasmata
Description: bacterial SSU rRNA
Rfam family: Archaeal small subunit ribosomal RNA
Source: RNAcentral
GGAUAACAUACCCUUGGGUGGGGGAUAACCUCGGGAAACUGAGACUAAUACCCCAUAGACCUAGGAUGCUGGAAUGCUUCUAGCUCCAAAGCUCCGGCGCCCAAGGAUUGGUCUGCGGCCUAUCAGGUAGUAGUGGGUGUAACGGACCCACUAGCCUAUGACGGGUAUGGGCCUUGAAAGAGGGAGCCCAGAGAUGGACUCUGAGACAUGAGUCCAGGCCCUACGGGGUGCAGCAGUCGCGAAAACUUCGCAAUGGGAGCAAUCCCGACGAGGGAAUUCCAAGUGCCAGCACAUUGUGUUGGCUGUUCUCCUGUCUAAAAAACAGGAGAAGUAAGGGCCGGGUAAGACGGGUGCCAGCCGCCGCGGUAAUACCCGCGGCCCGAGUGGUGGUCGAUAUUAUUGAGCCUAAAACGUCCGUAGCCGGUCUUGUAAAUCCUUGGGUAAAUCGGCCAGCUUAACUGUCCGAAUUCCGAGGAGACUGCAAGACUUGGGACCGGGAGAGGUCAGAGGUACUUCCAGGGUAGGGGUAAAAUCCUGUAAUCCUGGAAGGACCACCGGUGGCGAAGGCGUCUGACUAGAACGGAUCCGACGGUGAGGGACGAAGCCCUGGGGCGCAAACGGGAUUAGAUACCCCGGUAGUCCAGGGUGUAAACGCUGCGGGCUUGGUGUUGGGGGUCCUUCGUGGGCGCCCAGUGCCGGAGAGAAGUUGUUAAGCCUGCUGCUUGGGGAGUACGUCCGCAAGGAUGAAACUUAA